RNAcentral lists this long non-coding RNA (2406 nucleotides) under Citrus x clementina. RNAcentral's name for it is "Citrus clementina (C. clementina) long non-coding RNA (CCLE_LNC001597)". Lineage: Eukaryota; Viridiplantae; Streptophyta; Magnoliopsida; Sapindales; Rutaceae. The record is from RNAcentral.
ACUUAAAUCUAUUUUUUAUUUAUUUUUAGAUGUUAUAAUUGCCCACAACAAAUCACAAUUUUAAUAUCUAAUCUAAUAUUUGCUCUUGAUUUGCUCCGAUUUAACUAUUGUGUUGUAAAGGGAAUAGUCCACAUUUAUAAAGUGUCCACGCCACCAUUGAAAAAGUUAAUUUUGAAUCUAAAUUCGAUUUUAUUUGUAACAAUUUUGUAUUAGACUAUUAAUGUGUUUAUGAUAGUUUGUAAAAGAAGUUUGUAUCCCUUGCAUGUUGCGUUACUUACUAAUAUUUUGAAUCUAAAUUCGAUUUUAUUUGUAAUAAUUUUGUAUUAGACUAUUAAUGUGUUCAUGAUAGUUUGUAAAAGAAGUUUGUAUCCCUUACAUGUUGCGUUACUUACUAAUUUAAUGUAUGUGAUUUUUGUAAUGGAUAUUAAUGUAAGAUAUAUUUCGAACUUUACUUUUAUUUGAAUUUUUUAUUUUAAUAUGAUUAACUCAAAAUCGAAAACAAAAAAAAUGUAUUAGUUAUUCGGGGAUCGGGGAUAGGGAUGGCAAAAUCCGGGUCCGGGUUCAGUCUUUCCGGUUCCGGACCCGGAUGACAAUUUUGUUAUACCGGACCCGGAUAUAACCCGGAUAUUUUAAUUCCGGGUCCGGACCGGGUUGAACCCGGAAAAAGCCGUGUUUUCGGAUUGCGGGUUCCAAACCCGCAUAUCUAUUACAAUUUUUUUUUUCUCUCGAUGUUACUUCCUCAAAUCUCCAAAUCUCAAAUCACCAAAAUCCCGAAAUCAUAGCUAAAUGAAUGUUGAGGGAGGAUUGCUGAGUUUUCAGAUUUUUGGUGGCAUUGGUGUUGUCGUCGGUGUCGAGGAGAGCAUCGUCAGAAAGUUGCUGUGGAGAUUCAGUAGUUUCUGGUGACAAAAAACCAGCAAGAGUGGCGGAAAGCAGCUGUCAAAAACCAGCAAGAGUGACAAAAAAUGAGGAUCAGCCUUAAUGGGUGCAUUACUCUUUGUCUUCCUUUCAAUACAAAGAUUUUUCCAAGUCAUUUGAGUGAAUGAAAGAGAAAUUGGAGAAGAAAGAAAGCAGCUGCAGUGGGUUUGUUUUAAUGAAAAGAGAAGAUGGAGAAGAAAGAAAGAGAAAUUGGAGAAAAAAGAAGCGGCUGCUAGGUUAAGGCUUAAGGCAUUAGGGUUUUUUUUUCUUUUAUAUUUAAAUUAUCCGGGUCCGGGUUUCGGACAUCCGGGUUAAGAUAAAACCGGAUCCGGACCGGAAUGUAUCCAGGUUCAAAAUAUCCUUUCCGGAUCCGCAUUGUAUUACCUUCCGGUGCGGGUUAAACCCGGACCGGAUUAUCCGGGUUUAUCCGGGUCCGGGUUAAUUUGCCAUCCCUAAUCGGGGACCUUCGGGGAUCUCCUGUUAUUAUUCGGGGAGGGGAUGAAGAUUCUCUCAAGUAAUUCUGACGGGGACGGGGAGGGGACGAUGACAUACGCAAAAUAUCGGGGAUGGGUACAGGGAGAUUGGUCCCCUCCCCUCCCCAUUGCCAUCCCUACUUGCAAGGGCCUGGUCCUUGAGUUCACUGGAUUCAUCUAGAUACAUUUUUAACCAAUGAUUAGUAUUAAUUUGUUAAAGCUGCAGGUUGCACUAGAAACUUGUAUAAAAGGAAGCGUCACAUUGCAAUCAAAUUAAUUAUGUUGAUAUAUGUUUAAGUUUUUCAUCCAAUAUAAUUGGGGCAAAAAGUUAAAAGACAAAAAGGGAGUUUCCUGAAAUGGAAAAGAAAUCUCUGACGGGUAAUUCAGAAUUCAUAAUAUUAAGGCAAUUGUUAAGUUACAGCCGUUGUAACUCACACCCCAUUCAAAAACAUGCAAAAAGUAGUAACAUGCAUGGGGUCUGCAUGAUUUUUGUAUGGAGUGUAAGUUACAGCAACUGUAACUUUGCAAAGGAUCAAGAUUCUCUCCUAAUCUGAACACUCUUGAUCUUUUAUAGAUUUUAUGAUAUCUAUCUUUUAGUGUUAGUGAAUAAUUAUGAUUUAACUAUUUUUUAUUUUGAAUUUAUUAAACACCAAUCACAUUAAUAAAAUUUACUUAGAUUAAGAUCAGUUCAGGAGAGGAUCCUGAUCCCUUUGCAAGACCCUAAUAUUAAUGACGGAGCAAUGGCUGAGCAUGAUCAUGGAGAUUCGGUACUGAAGAUUAUAGAUUUAAGGUGAGGAAGAAUCAAGCAUUUAAGGUAGUGUUUACUUUCUGGAGUGGGAGUGUGGAGUGUGUAUUCCUCCCACUCCAAUAUUUACUUACCUUAAAAAAGGGGGGGAGUGGGAAUGGAAAUCCGUGGGUCCCACCCAAUUUUGGAGUGGGGAGUGAGAUUCCCACUCCCAUGGGGGGAGGUGGGAGUGAGAAUUCACUACCCCCUCUUCCUAUUUUAUCCCUAUAAUUA